AUGAUCCAAGUUUUAUCUCAUGACGCAUUCACCAAGCUCUCCGUCACCUUAUGGGCAAUCUGGUCGGCGAGGAGGAAGGCAAUCCAUAAAGGUGUUUUCCAAAGCCCUCAAGCUACAGAUGAAUUCAUCAAAAGAUUCAUGGCUGACCUGGAAAUCAUCAAGGAAAAUCAGCCGGGGGCUGGGAGGCCGGCAACUGAGAGCACGAGGCCAAAAGCCCCACCAGCGGGGUAUGCAAAAAUUCAUGUAGAUGCCGGGGUGUCCAACUCCCAUCGGCGCGGUACAGCUGCAGCAGUGGCAAGGGAUCAGUUUGGGAACUAUCUUGGCAGCUCGUCUCUUGUGAUUGAAGGAUUGCACGAUCCAUCAGCCUUGGAGGCAAUAGCCUGCCGUGAGGGACUCUCACUCGCUGAAGAUUUGGUUAUUCAGAGCUGCGUCAUUGCAUGUGAUGCUAAGCAAGUCAUUCAAGACAUUCGGAGUACAAGUAGAGGGCGGUAUGGUCAGAUCAUCACCGAGAUUAAUGCUAGAGCUGCAAAUAUCAAUUGUAAUUUUGUAUUCGAAGGCCGGUCGGCUAACAUAGAUGCUCAUAGAUUAGCUAAGUUUUCACUUUGCCUAGAAAAGGGUCGCCAUCUGUGGCUCAUCCAACCAUAUAUAUAA
This 651-nucleotide ribosomal RNA is filed under the name Triticum aestivum (bread wheat). RNAcentral describes it as "partial small subunit ribosomal RNA". The record is from RNAcentral. Lineage: Eukaryota; Viridiplantae; Streptophyta; Magnoliopsida; Poales; Poaceae.